UACGUAGGUGGCAAGCGUUAUCCGGAAUUACUGGGUGUAAAGGGCGCGCAGGCGGCCUUGCAAGUCGGAUGUGAAAGAUCAAGGCUCAACCUUGACAGGUCAUCCGAAACUGUAAGACUUGAGUGUCAGAGGGGAAAGUGGAAUUCCUAGUGGAGCGGUAAAAUGCGCAGAUAUUAGGAGGAACACCGGUGGCGAAGGCGACUUUCUGGCUGACAACUGACGCUGAGGCGCGAAAGCGUGGGGAGGCAAACAGGAUUAGAUACCCGGGUA
This 270-nucleotide ribosomal RNA is filed under the name uncultured prokaryote. RNAcentral describes it as "partial 16S ribosomal RNA". It matches the Rfam family "Bacterial small subunit ribosomal RNA", at positions 524 to 792 of the family's 1533-position model. The record is from RNAcentral.